Molecule: non-coding RNA, 30 nt
Filed under: Mus musculus (house mouse)
Lineage: Eukaryota; Metazoa; Chordata; Mammalia; Rodentia; Muridae
Source: RNAcentral
UGCUUUUAAGUCCUUGAAAAGGGUCAUUUA